UGUUUAAAGCAAUCGAUGUAAUUAGCCGUUCCCGCUCAAGUUUAACCAUCCGCUUCACUUCAGCUCGUUCCCCUUUGAUCACUUGUCGUGGUCUGAUCGCUUCAGUUGCACUCGGUUCAUCUGCGACGAUCCAUCGCAUCGUCGACAAUUCAACUUUCAGCUGUUCAGUUGUGCUCAGUUCGUAACUGGUCUGAACUGAUCUCGAACGUAUAUUUAUUCUUCAGACUCCAAGCAAUGACGACGCAGACACGUGAAAAUGUGAAAGUUGAAAAAGUGACAGAGGCUUACGGCCUUUCCGAAGGUCCACAUUGGGACCAUCGUACUCAAAAAUUGUAUUUUGUUGACAUAUACAAUCAGUAUAUACGCAGACUAGAUCCUGCAACAGGUGUUGUAACCAGCGCACACAUAGGUCAUGGGACUGUAGGAGUUGUUAUACCUGUGGAUGAACCUGUUGACCAACUUAUAGUAGGUUCAGGAAAAGAUGUUGUUCUUGUUAAAUGGGAUGGAGACAGCAAUGAAUCUAAGGUACCAGUCAAAGUGUUGUGUUCACUUGACUCUCCUCAGGCUCAAACGAGAAUUAAUGAUGGAAAAGUGGACUCAGCUGGAAGAUUUUGGCUCGGUACUAUGGGUAACGAAAUCAAUGGAAAGAUAGCUCCCAAUUUAGGAACAUUGUAUCGUGUUGAUAAUGAUCUUGAACCAGAAAAGGAAAUAUCACCUGUUACAAUAAGUAACGGAUUGGCAUGGAAUAUUGAAGACGACACUUUUUAUUAUAUUGAUUCACCUACUCGUCAGGUUACAGCGUAUGAUUACAAUCCUAAUAAUGGAACAAUAUCUAAUAAGAGGAUUGUAUUCGAUCUCAAUAAUACUAAUUUGAAAGGACUUCCCGAUGGAAUGACUAUAGAUGCAGAUGGCAAUCUUUGGAUAGCAUUAUUUGGUGGAUCUCAAGUUAUUUGUGUGGAUCCGAAAACAAAAAAAAUAUUAUUCAAAGUUGAGCUUCCAGCUGAAAACGUAACCAGUGUCGCAUUCGGCGGUCCGCUCCUAGAUACUUUGUACGUGACCACAUCUGGCUACAAUAUAAGUGCAGAGCAACGACAAGCGACUCCUCACGCUGGUGCUCUAUUCGCGGUGACAGGCCUAGGAGUUCAUGGAAUUCUUGCAAAUUCAUUUAUGAAGAUGGAUUAAAAGACUAAGAAUUUUGCAAGAAAUAUCAAUAAAUAUCUUGAUACUUCUUGCGAAAAUAUACGUUCAUUUGAUUAGGUUGAAAAAACCGACACUUGACACGAUUAAUUAAAUUUUGAUUUGUAAAUAUAAAAUACCUUGUUAACAUGAUUACGUAGUAAGUUUUUGAAUCAUAACUUGUUUGCGUUUAUGCCUUGAUAGAUAU
Mycetomoellerius zeteki is the source of this 1384-nucleotide RNA transcript. It is a transcript of the gene named regucalcin-like, with no coding region annotated. NCBI's taxonomy places the organism in Eukaryota, Metazoa, Arthropoda, Insecta, Hymenoptera, Formicidae. The transcript has 7 exons. The record is from RefSeq and is a predicted model, not a curated record.